Molecule: ribosomal RNA, 497 nt
Filed under: uncultured bacterium
Lineage: Bacteria
Description: partial 16S ribosomal RNA
Rfam family: Bacterial small subunit ribosomal RNA
Source: RNAcentral
GAUGAACGCUGGCGGCGUGCCUAAUACAUGCAAGUCGAGCGAACGGACGAGAAGCUUGCUUUUCUGAUUUUAGCGGCUGACGGGUGAGUAACACAUGGAUAACCUACCUAUAAGACUGGGAUAACUUCGGGAAACCGGAGCUAAUACCGGAUAAUAUUUUGAACCGCAUGGUUCAAAAGUGAAAGACGGUCUUGCUGUCACUUAUAGAUGUAUCCGCGCUGCAUUAGCUAGUUGGUAAGGUAACGGCUUACCAAGGCAACGAUGCAUAGCCGACCUGAGAGGGUGAGCGGCCACACUGGAACUGAGACACGGUCCAGACUCCUACGGGAGGCAGCAGUAGGGAAUCUUCCGCAAUGGGCGAAAGCCUGACGGAGCAACGCCGCGUGAGUGAUGAAGGUCUUCGGAUCGUAAAACUCUGUUAUUAGGGAAGAACAUAUGUGUAAGUAACUGUGCACAUCUUGACGGUACCUAAUCAGAAAGCCACGGCUAACUACGUG